GGAGUGGGAGAGGUAGACGGUACUCGAGAGGAAGUGGUAAAAUGCUUUGAUCUUUCGAUGACCACCUGUGGCGAAGGCGGUCUACCAGAACACGUCCGACGGUGAGGGAUGAAAGCUGGGGGAGCAAACCGGAUUAGAUACCCGGGUAGUCCCAGCUGUAAACUAUGCAAACUCAGUGAUGCAUUGGCUUGUGGCCAAUGCAGUGUUGCAGGGAAGCCGUUAAGUUUGCCGCCUGGGAAGUACGUACGCAAGUAUGAAACUUAAAGGAAUUGGCGGGGGAGCACCACAAGGGGUGAAGCCUGCGGUUCAAUUGGAGUCAACGCCAGAAAUCUUACCCGGAGAGACAGCAGAAUGAAGGUCAAGCUGAAGACUUUACCAGACAAGCUGAGAGGUGGUGCAUGGCCGUCGCCAGCUCGUGCCGUGAGAUGUCCUGUUAAGUCAGGUAACGAGCGAGAUCCCUGCCUCUAGUUGCCACCAUUACUCUCAGGAGUAGUGGGGCGAAUUAGCGGGACCGCCGCAGUUAAUGCGGAGGAAGGAAGGGGCCACGGCAGGUCAGUAUGCCCCGAAACUCUGGGGCCACACGCGGGCUGCAAUGGUAAUGACAAUGUGUUCCGAAUCCGAAAGGAAGAGGUAAUCCUCAAACAUUACCACAGUUAUGACUGAGGGCUGCAACUCGCCCUCACGAAUAUGGAAUCCCUAGUAACUGCGUGUCAUUAUCGCGCGGUGAAUACGUCCCUGCUCCU
Molecule: ribosomal RNA, 743 nt
Filed under: uncultured sediment archaeon
Lineage: Archaea
Description: bacterial SSU rRNA
Rfam family: Archaeal small subunit ribosomal RNA
Source: RNAcentral